RNAcentral lists this ribosomal RNA (253 nucleotides) under uncultured bacterium. Its description in RNAcentral is "partial 16S ribosomal RNA". It matches the Rfam family "Bacterial small subunit ribosomal RNA", at positions 524 to 776 of the family's 1533-position model. The record is from RNAcentral.
UACAGAGAGUGCGAACGUUGUUCGGAAUUACUGGGAUUAAAGCGCACGUAGGCGGCAUCGUAAGUGUCAGGUGAAAUCCCACGGCUCACCCGUGGAACUGCCUGGCAGACUGCGAUGCUCGAGUGUGGUAGGGGAGAGCGGAACUCCUGGUGGAGCGGUGAAAUGCGUAGAUAUCAGGAGGAACACCGGUGGCGAAGGCGGCUCUCUGGUCCAUGUCUGACGCUGAGGUGCGAAAGCUAGGGGAGCAAACGGG